GCCACGUGAAGCCAGACACAAUGGCUACACUAAUCUUUGGGCUGGAGUAGCCUGUGGUUUUUAAGGCUUCGUGUCUCAUCGCGUUAAACGAUCGCAGAACGAUUUAUUUCUCUUUUUCACCUCGAUCUUUGGCCUCGUGUGAUUUACCAAAACCAACAUGUGAAGUUACAACGCUGACGAAGGAGUUUCAUCAGUAGAGUGUGUCCUGGUAAACGUGUGCUCGGAAACAUGCAGAUUACAGUAUUUACAGAGCCGACCUUGAGGCACCCACUGAUGGAUAAUCUGUUUACCUAAAAACAGCACUUCAGGAGAAACCUGCCUGUGAUCUGCUAAGAUGCACAGAUUCAACUCUGGCCCAUUGUCAUCCCAACACCUCAUCUGCCAUCAGUUUCGUUUAGUGUCGGUCUAUUGCAAAAGUUCUUAUAAACUUUAAAUGAGACUUUGUGUUAAGCAGGGGUUUCCAAACUUUUCAUUCCACAACAUAUUAAGCCCAGGAUACACAGCAGGAUUUUUGCAAUCCAAUAAGACCUUAUCACACUGUGUGACAAGGAUUGUUUAAACUUCAGCAGUAGACUGUCGAUGAAGACACCUAUUGCAUCUGAAGCUGCGACAUCUGUCAUCAACAUGCGCUAGUGGUAAACAAAUACAGGUUUGCAGAUCGUAGAAGCAAACACAUUGUUGAUGUGCGAUGAUCAUGCUGAACUUCUUACACUGUCAUAAAACUAUCGUAGGUGUCUUUGGUCCCAGGACUGGGAAAACAGACGUCUUUAAACCUCUCACACUGUAUGAGAUAGGACCACCAAUUAAAGGUGCUCUAAGCGAAUUGAAGCGUUUUAGACCAUAAAACAUUUUUUGUUACAUACCGGAAACAUCUCCUCACUAUCUGCUUGCUGCCUGUCCGCUGAUCAAACUGUAAAAAAACGCGAUCUCUGUAGACAGCCCAGGCUUCACAAACGGCAAUAUCAACAAAUGGCCAAACCUAGCCAGCACAAAACUAAACAAAGUAUUCCAGCCAAUAAACGACAAGAAGGAUUUGGGGGUGGGGGUUGGGCGCGUUUAUGAA
Paramisgurnus dabryanus is the source of this 1063-nucleotide non-coding RNA. The record is from RefSeq and is a predicted model, not a curated record. Lineage: Eukaryota; Metazoa; Chordata; Actinopteri; Cypriniformes; Cobitidae.